RNAcentral lists this ribosomal RNA (767 nucleotides) under Scophthalmus aquosus (windowpane). Its description in RNAcentral is "partial 12S ribosomal RNA". It matches the Rfam family "Bacterial small subunit ribosomal RNA", at positions 7 to 1271 of the family's 1533-position model. The record is from RNAcentral. Lineage: Eukaryota; Metazoa; Chordata; Actinopteri; Pleuronectiformes; Scophthalmidae.
CAAAGGCUUGGUCCUGACUUUACUAUCAACUUUAACUAAACUUAUACAUGCAAGUCUCCGCCUCCCGGUGAGAAUGCCCACAGUCCCCUGCUUGGGGAUUAGGAGCUGGUAUCAGGCACAAAUCUUUUAAGCCCAUGACGCCUUGCUUAGCCACACCCCCAAGGGUACUCAGCAGUGAUAAAUAUUAAGCCAUGAGUGAAAACUUGACUUAAUUAUAGUUAAGAGGGCCGGUAAAACUCGUGCCAGCCACCGCGGUUAUACGAGAGGCCCAAGUUGACAGACAACGGCGUAAAGGGUGGUUAGGGAUUACAAUAAACUAAAGCUAAACAACCUCAAAUCUGUUAUAAGUACUCGAGAGUUUGAAACCCAACUACGAAAGUGGCUUUAAUUAACCUGAACCCACGAAAGCUAAGAAACAAACUGGGAUUAGAUACCCCACUAUGCUUAGCCCUAAACAUCGAUUUAAUACCCCAUCAAAUCCGCCUGGGGACUACGAACGUAUGUUUAAAACCCCAAGGACUUGGCGGUGCUUUAUAUCCACCUAGAGGAGCCUGUUCUAGAACCGAUGAUCCCCGUUAAACCUCACCUUCUCUUGCAAUAUCCGCCUAUAUACCACCGUCGUCAGCUUACCCUGUGAAGGGACGACAGUAAGCACAAUUGGUACAACCCAAAACGUCAGGUCGAGGUGUAGCGAAUGAGAGGGGAAGAUAAUGGGCUACAUUUGNUAGCAUAGCAAAUACGGACGAUGCAUUGAAACAUGCAACUGA